CCAUCAAAGGCCACCUAAUAUGCGAAAGAGACAUGACCAUCACAUUGUUCAUCAUUUGAAGAGAGCAAAUUAAUUUUAUUAAACUCGACUGAUUAACCUUACGCAUACAAAGAGUUCAAUAUUAAAUUCAUAGGUUUUCCAAUUCGAUUAUAAACCAUAUCAUUACAUCUACAACCCCUUUUUCAUAUAUAAAAACUUAUGUCAACCUGGACAUGAUUAAGCUGAAACAUCCCUUAAAAUCAAUGAAUCACAUCCCAUCCCAAGCAAACACCUACCCAUUUUCCAUACUAGAUCCAAUGGUACACUACAGCAAACUGAAGAAUCCUUACUUAACACAUGACUAGUGAUUCAAAAUAGCUUUGAAUUAGUCGAAUUAACAGCAUAUGGACUCAAUCCUUAAACAAAAAAAAGCAGGACGAAUAGAAGAAAGUAAACAAACUAGUAAGUUAUGUUAUGAAUACAAUUACUACUCAAGUAGAACAUAACCAAAUCCUAAGGUAAAUACAAAUUAUUUUCGAAGAAAAACAUGAAUCAGAAAGAACAGUAAGCAGACUAAAACGUAUAUGAAUAUCAAGGUAGUUUAUUCCAUUUCAACUUCCAACUUUGCAUAUUCACAUUGUUUAAAUUUCAUAGAUGCAUACCUAGAUAAAAAACAAAGGAAAAGGUGAGGAAUGCAGCAGUAAUAGCAGAGAUGAACCCAGAUUCAGCAAAUUAGAGUAGGGAACUCAACUCAAACCCAAAAAAUAUUGUAAUAUUCAACCAGAUUGAACCAAAAAACUUUCAGAAAACCCAAUAUCAAUGCAUACUUAUUCUCAAAUGAACCAGAAAAUAUUUCAGGACUUCAAAAUUUCAAAACUCAGUAAAGAAAUCAAUGAAACAGUAAUCCUUUUAGCCGUUUAGCCGUCUGAAGUUUUUGGAUAUUUUUUUAGCUUUCAAGUCUUAAAAUCAAGCCAUCUCAGCUCUCAGAUAAGUCUGAAUUCACUUCAGGAGUUAGAAAUCUAAGAAAUCAUCAAGGAAACUCAAUGAAAUAGUAAUUUUCAGCUAUUUUUGUGUUUUUUGAUUUUUUCUCUAUUUUCCUUCACCUCACAGAACCUCUUUUAGCUUAUGUUUUCAUGUCUUUUAUAGGCUGAAUAUUAGGAAAAUAUUCAGAAUUUGUUUUUUUCUUAUAGUCCCUUAUUUUAUGACUUGCCAACCAAGUUAUAUCUAAUGUUUUCUAGAAAACCCCUACUAGAGGUUUCUGAAAUUGUUACUAAAGAUUCCCUGGUCAUAUUACUUAUGCUACCCUCCCUUAGGUAUUUACAUUAUACUCAAAUUGGUUGGGUCAAUUUGACUCAAGGUUCCAAUUCAAAUCUUGGCUUUUAACCCUUUGAAGUGACCCUUACCUUUAGGCUUCCAAGAUAAACCUGGGUUUCACAAUUCAAAACCAAACACAAGAUAGAAUCUUAACCAAGUCACCCAAAUAUUUUAAAAUCAAAUUGAAUGGCCCAUGAAUUAAACCCCUAAAUCAAACCCCUGAAUAGACCAGAAUUAAGAGAAAACCUAGCAAACUAAACAUAGUUAAAGUGACGACCAGUUCAUGUGAAAUGAAAUCAUGUAGAUGCAAUUCUAAUGAAGAGACGAUUAACAAGCAUAAAACAAUCAAAAUGAUAAAAAGAAACAUGCAACACCAGAAAGAGGAUGAACAGAAAUACCUAAAAAUGAGAGCUAACUUUCAUAUUUACCUAGAAGUCUCGAUUCUGAACCAAAAAGGGCCUCGCUCAUAUGUUCUCAAACGAAAACAGAUGACCAAGGCUCAUUUUCGCCUUAAUCAACCCAAACCUUGGCCCUGACACCCUACAGCCUUGCUUUCAAAAGUAAAUGCGACCAAUUCUAGGGCUUUUUGAUGGGAACGGGCUAUGGAUUUGGAAAAAGGGAGGUUAGGGGUUUUUUUGGUGUUAAUGUGGUAUUGAUUAGAGGUGAUGUCGCCGGACACGGCGGAGGAGUCAGUGGCAGCGCCCUAAGGUUUGAGGAUUUUGUUCGGUUUCUGGGGAGAUUCGAGGGAGAAGAACGGUGGAAUGGGUAUGAGGGGACGAAGGCAGAGCUCUGGUGCAAAAAAUGGUGGUCAUCAGAGACCUACCGCCGUCGUGGGAUAUUUUCGACGGGCGGCAGGAGGUGGUCUCAUGGUGACGUUACAUCUGGUCUCUGAGAGAGAAGAGUGG
RNAcentral lists this long non-coding RNA (2198 nucleotides) under Nicotiana benthamiana. RNAcentral's name for it is "long non-coding RNA (NBEN_LNC015959)". Lineage: Eukaryota; Viridiplantae; Streptophyta; Magnoliopsida; Solanales; Solanaceae. The record is from RNAcentral.